UUAAGCGACUAAGCGUACACGGUGGAUGCCUAGGCAGUCAGAGGCGAUGAAGGGCGUGCUAAUCUGCGAAAAGCGUCGGUAAGGUGAUAUGAACCGUUAUAACCGACGAUACCCGAAUGGGGAAACCCAGUGCAAUUCGUUGCACUAUUGCAUGGUGAAUACAUAGCCAUGCAAGGCGAACCGGGAGAACUGAAACAUCUAAGUACCCCGAGGAAAAGAAAUCAACCGAGAUUCCCCCAGUAGCGGCGAGCGAACGGGGAGGAGCCCAGAACCUGAAUCAGCGUAUGUGUUAGUGGAAGCGUCUGGAAAGUCGCACGGUACAGGGUGAUAGUCCCGUACACAAAAAUGCCUAUGUUGUGAGUUCGAUGAGUAGGGCGGGACACGUGACAUCCUGUCUGAAUAUGGGGGGACCAUCCUCCAAGGCUAAAUACUCCUGACUGACCGAUAGUGAACCAGUACCGUGAGGGAAAGGCGAAAAGAACCCCGGCGAGGGGAGUGAAACAGAACCUGAAACCGUGUACGUACAAGCAGUGGGAGCACCUUCGUGGUGUGACUGCGUACCUUUUGUAUAAUGGGUCAGCGACUUAUAUUUUGUAGCAAGGUUAACCGAAUAGGGGAGCCGUAGGGAAACCGAGUCUUAACUGGGCGUCUAGUUGCAAGGUAUAGACCCGAAACCCGGUGAUCUAGCCAUGGGCAGGUUGAAGGUUGGGUAACACUAACUGGAGGACCGAACCGACUAAUGUUGAAAAAUUAGCGGAUGACUUGUGGCUGGGGGUGAAAGGCCAAUCAAACCGGGAGAUAGCUGGUUCUCCCCGAAAGCUAUUUAGGUAGCGCCUCGUGAACUCAUCUUCGGGGGUAGAGCACUGUUUCGGCUAGGGGGUCAUCCCGACUUACCAAACCGAUGCAAACUCCGAAUACCGAAGAAUGUUAUCACGGGAGACACACGGCGGGUGCUAACGUCCGUCGUGAAGAGGGAAACAACCCAGACCGCCAGCUAAGGUCCCAAAGUCAUGGUUAAGUGGGAAACGAUGUGGGAAGGCACAGACAGCCAGGAUGUUGGCUUAGAAGCAGCCAUCAUUUAAAGAAAGCGUAAUAGCUCACUGGUCGAGUCGGCCUGCGCGGAAGAUGUAACGGGGCUAAACCAUGCACCGAAGCUGCGGCAGCGAACGUAUCACUUAAAACGCUUAACGUGACGGCAAAGCCGGCAUGUUCAAGCCACACUAAACGUUGAGUUGGCCGGUGUGCUGACAAACGAACAGGCGUUUUAAGGAUACGUUCGUUGGGUAGGGGAGCGUUCUGUAAGCCGUUGAAGGUGGCCUGUGAGGGCUGCUGGAGGUAUCAGAAGUGCGAAUGCUGACAUAAGUAACGAUAAUGCGGGUGAAAAACCCGCACGCCGGAAGACCAAGGGUUCCUGUCCAACGUUAAUCGGGGCAGGGUGAGUCGACCCCUAAGGCGAGGCUGAAAAGCGUAGUCGAUGGGAAACAGGUUAAUAUUCCUGUACUUGGUGUUACUGCGAAGGGGGGACGGAGAAGGCUAGGCUAGCCGGGCGACGGUUGUCCCGGUUUAAGCAUGUAGGCGGAGUGACCAGGUAAAUCCGGUUGCUUAUCAACGCUGAGGUGUGAUGACGAUGCACUACGGUGCAGAAGUAGUUGAUGCCAUGCUUCCAGGAAAAGCCUCUAAGCAUCAGGUAACAUGAAAUCGUACCCCAAACCGACACAGGUGGUCAGGUAGAGAAUACUCAGGCGCUUGAGAGAACUCGGGUGAAGGAACUAGGCAAAAUGGUGCCGUAACUUCGGGAGAAGGCACGCUGGCAUUAGGUAAAGGGACUUGCUCCCGGCGCCGAAGCCAGUCGCAGAUACCAGCUGGCUGCAACUGUUUAAUAAAAACACAGCACUGUGCAAACACGAAAGUGGACGUAUACGGUGUGACGCCUGCCCGGUGCUGGAAGGUUAAUUGAUGGGGUCAGCCGCAAGGCGAAGCUCUUGAUCGAAGCCCCAGUAAACGGCGGCCGUAACUAUAACGGUCCUAAGGUAGCGAAAUUCCUUGUCGGGUAAGUUCCGACCUGCACGAAUGGCGUAAUGAUGGCCAGGCUGUCUCCACCCGAGACUCAGUGAAAUUGAACUCGCUGUGAAGAUGCAGUGUACCCGCGGCAAGACGGAAAGACCCCGUGAACCUUUACUAUAGCUUGACACUGAACAUUGAGCCUUGAUGUGUAGGAUAGGUGGGAGGCAUAGAAGUGUGGACGCCAGUCUGCAUGGAGCCAACCUUGAAAUACCACCCUUUAAUGUUUGAUGUUCUAACUCGGCCCCGUAAUCCGGGGUGAGGACAGUGUCUGGUGGGUAGUUUGACUGGGGCGGUCUCCUCCCAAAGAGUAACGGAGGAGCACG
This 2387-nucleotide ribosomal RNA is filed under the name Yersinia enterocolitica. Its description in RNAcentral is "bacterial LSU rRNA". It matches the Rfam family "Bacterial large subunit ribosomal RNA", at positions 1 to 2312 of the family's 2925-position model. Lineage: Bacteria; Pseudomonadati; Pseudomonadota; Gammaproteobacteria; Enterobacterales; Yersiniaceae. The record is from RNAcentral.